Molecule: ribosomal RNA, 371 nt
Filed under: uncultured organism
Description: bacterial SSU rRNA
Rfam family: Bacterial small subunit ribosomal RNA
Source: RNAcentral
GUAGGGUGCAAGCGUUGUUCGGAAUCAUUGGGCGUAAAGCGCGUGUAGGUGGUUUAUUAAGUCGAUUGUGAAAUCCCUGGGCUCAACCGAGGAAGUGCAGUCGAAACUAAUUGACUAGAAGAUGGUAGAGGAAGGUGGAAUUCCAAGUGUAGAGGUGAAAUUCGUAGAUAUUUGGAGGAAUACCGGCGGCGAAGGCGGCCUUCUGGGCCAUUCUUGACACUGAGACGCGAAAGCGUGGGUAGCAAACAGGAUUAGAUACCCUGGUAGUCCACGCUGUAAACGAUGAGUACUAGGUGUUGUGGGAAUUGACCCCUACAGUGCCGCAGCUAACGCAUUAAGUACUCCGCCUGGGAAGUACGGCCGCAAGGUUA